UUUCCGUUGGUGAACCAGCGGAGGGAUCAUUACCGAAGUUACCUUCAAAACCCACUGUGAACCUUACCUCUUGCCGCGUUGUCUCGGCGGGAGGCGGUGUGCGUCGCGCGCCCUAGCGGGCCGCGCCGCUCCCGUCCCCGCCGGCAGCGCCAAACUCUAAAUGCACAGCGGACUGUACGUUCUGAUUUACAAAAAAAACAAGUUAAAACUUUCAACAACGGAUCUCUUGGUUCUG
RNAcentral lists this unclassified non-coding RNA (235 nucleotides) under plant metagenome. Its description in RNAcentral is "partial contains small subunit ribosomal RNA, internal transcribed spacer 1, and 5.8S ribosomal RNA". The record is from RNAcentral.